This 253-nucleotide ribosomal RNA is filed under the name uncultured bacterium. Its description in RNAcentral is "partial 16S ribosomal RNA". It matches the Rfam family "Bacterial small subunit ribosomal RNA", at positions 524 to 776 of the family's 1533-position model. The record is from RNAcentral.
UACGGAGGGUGCAAGCGUUGUCCGGAAUCACUGGGCGUAAAGGGCGCGUAGGCGGCCUGGUAAGUAGGGGGUGAAAUCCUGCGGCCUAACCGCAGGGCUGCCUUCUAAACUGUCAGGCUUGAGCACGGUAGAGGCAGAUGGAAUUCCCGGUGUAGCGGUGGAAUGCGUAGAGAUCGGGAAGAACAUCAGUGGCGAAGGCGGUCUGCUGGGCCGUUGCUGACGCUGAGGCGCGACAGCGUGGGGAGCAAACAGG